This 430-nucleotide ribosomal RNA is filed under the name bacterium. Its description in RNAcentral is "partial 16S ribosomal RNA". It matches the Rfam family "Bacterial small subunit ribosomal RNA", at positions 355 to 776 of the family's 1533-position model. The record is from RNAcentral.
UGGGGAAUAUUGGACAAUGGGCGCAAGCCUGAUCCAGCCAUGCCGCGUGUGUGAAGAAGGCCUUUUGGUUGUAAAGCACUUUAAGCGAGGAGGAGGCGACUUGGAUUAAUACUCUAAGAUAGUGGACGUUACUCGCAGAAUAAGCACCGGCUAACUCUGUGCCAGCAGCCGCGGUAAUACAGAGGGUGCGAGCGUUAAUCGGAUUUACUGGGCGUAAAGCGUGCGUAGGCGGCUUCUUAAGUCGGAUGUGAAAUCCCUGAGCUUAACUUAGGAAUUGCAUUCGAUACUGGGAAGCUAGAGUAUGGGAGAGGAUGGUAGAAUUCCAGGUGUAGCGGUGAAAUGCGUAGAGAUCUGGAGGAAUACCGAUGGCGAAGGCAGCCAUCUGGCCUAAUACUGACGCUGAGGUACGAAAGCAUGGGGAGCAAACGGG